Long non-coding RNA from Pseudopipra pipra, 2163 nucleotides. RefSeq lists it as uncharacterized. The record is from RefSeq and is a predicted model, not a curated record. The transcript has 2 exons. Lineage: Eukaryota; Metazoa; Chordata; Aves; Passeriformes; Pipridae.
CAAUUCUGUGUUUGCAUAUACUGAAAGCUGUCCUUACCAUUGCAAAGGUUUGAUUUUAUUCAGUGCUUUCCUUGUUGAUGCUUCUGAUUUUCUGCAAGAGAACAAUUGGUGAUUCUACUGUAAGAUCAUUCAAAAAUAUUCAUUCACAGCCUGAUAUUGUGGGAUACUGGACUAGGACUGAAGUUGACCAUGUCUUUGGUAGUACACAUUUGUAUAAUAAUAACAAUAAUAAAUCCAUGCAAAACAUACACAGUUUUUCUCCAACUUUGUACCAAUUGUUUGUAUACAGUAUAUCCUAACAUGUUCACUAAUAACUCUAAAUUUAGGAGGAAUUAAAGAGCAUUAAGAGUUAAAUAGCAUAUCAUAGUUGUUGAAAGGAACUUUGUCUGGGGCCAGCUCUCUUUCCUGCUGUGGGUGUCUCGAGGGGGGUACCUGGCUUUGUGGCAUGGGGGGAAUAACAGUGUUGGGAGAUUGGAGGUGCACACGAGCAUUCUGCUUUUGCAGCUAUGGAGGAGGUUGGUCUCCCAUGGUUAGCUGGAAGAGGUGGCACAUGUCCCUCUAUCCUGCUCUCCUCCGAAAUGGAGAAUCGAAUGGGAGACUGGACAUAUCUCUGAGCACUGCAAACCCUGCAGUGUCAUAACUGGGCACUGCAAACCCUGCUGGAGGGUGGACUGGAGCCUUCUCCCACUGACUGGUGGUUUCUUGUUUCUCUCCCCAGAGUGCCAGCACCUUAUCAGAUAUUUGUCUAUGCAUCCCCUGGACAGGCCAUCACUGGAAGAUAUUUUCAAGCAUUCUUGAUUGGAGGAUGUUCACCUGCCCCAGAAGACAGCAGAGAUCCAUUCCCCUGCACAGUAGGAUCCAGGAGCCCGGCAAGUAACAGCUCCCCACGUCUCAUGGUAUUAAGAAGCAAAGAAAACCAGAUUGUUUCCCUGCUACUCAGUAGCACUGAGUAGGGAUUAUAGCUGAUGAGAUGCUUCCACCUGUCCUGGAGGAAGUGUCAGAGGAAGUGGCUAGGUACUUCCAUCAUAUUUGAGAAGUCGUGGCAGUCCAGUGAAGUUCCCACAGACUGGAAAAGGGGAAACAUCCCCCUCGCAGCGCAAUGGCAUCAUGGUCACCCUGCAACUCAGGGCACAACUGUGGCAUCCUGCAGUGUGACAUCAAGCUGGAGAACAUCAUCCUCAGGUGGCCACCGGCAGAGCAAAGCUGUUUGACUUUGGUUGCAGCACUUUCCUCAAGGACACACUCUACAUCCAGAUGAAAUCAAGAUGAGUCCAUACUCAGUGUGGGGAUGCUCCCAAUCCCGGGCAUCAAAGGGCCCAGCCUGGCCAGACAGCAGAGGUUCCCCUCUUUGCUAGGGAGGGAUGGAAUUAAUUUUUCAGCUGGCUGCCAAAUUGCUUUUUGGAGGGGGAGGGUGUGGAUGUUGUGGAAUGGGAGCCAGCUCCCACCUUGCCGACAGUGUCCACCGCCCAUCCUGGCCUGGACUGGGACUGGGGGAGGCAGCCUGACAAAAAUAUCCACCCGUGGAAGUGGUAGAGGGAGGAGUCUUGAACCUGUGUGCAGGCCAGUUUGCUUUGCAGGAAGAUUCUACCUGGUGCCUGGACAGAUGGGGAAGUGCUGGGACCAGCUGCCAGUGCUACCCUGGCCAUGAUCUGCAGGGACAUGCUCUUCAAGAUGAACAAGGACAUCAUCCGGGAUCAGCUCCUCUUCCAGAAGUGGGUCUCUCGGGGUGGGUACCCGGCUUCAUGGCAUGGGUGGGAUAACGGGUUUUGGAAGGUGGUAGCAGGCACACAAGCAUCCCACUCUUGCAGCUACUGAGGAGGUUGAUCUCCCAUGGUCAGCUGGAGGAGAUGGCACAUGUUCUCCUCACAUCCUACUCUCCUCCAAAAUGGAGAAUCAACUGGGAUGCUUGGGUGCAGGUCUGAGCACAACCAGUGGAGUCUGGACACUGUGGACCUGGUAGAGGGUGGACAGGAUCUUUCUCUCACUGACCAUCAGUUUUCAGUUUAUCUCCCUCUCCCCAGAGUGCCAACACCUCAUCACAUUGAAGCAUCAUCACACAGCCUGUGAGUUUGGAGGGUGGGAGUGGGAGGAGGGUAUCUUUCUUUAUGAGGAGGAAACACUUCAUUCACUGUCAAAAAUAAACUUUAUACUUUUGGUCCCCUU